Molecule: ribosomal RNA, 542 nt
Filed under: uncultured bacterium
Lineage: Bacteria
Description: bacterial SSU rRNA
Rfam family: Bacterial small subunit ribosomal RNA
Source: RNAcentral
GGGGAAUAUUGCACAAUGGGCGAAAGCCUGAUGCAGCGACGCCGCGUGAGGGAUGGAGGCCUUCGGGUUGUAAACCUCUUUCGCUCAUGGUCAAGCCGCAACUGUGGGUUGUGGUGAGGGUAGUGGGUAAAGAAGCGCCGGCUAACUACGUGCCAGCAGCCGCGGUAAUACGUAGGGCGCGAGCGUUGUCCGGAAUUAUUGGGCGUAAAGGGCUUGUAGGCGGUUGGUCGCGUCUGCCGUGAAAUUCUCUGGCUUAACUGGGGGCGUGCGGUGGGUACGGGCUGACUUGAGUGCGGUAGGGGAGACUGGAACUCCUGGUGUAGCGGUGGAAUGCGCAGAUAUCAGGAAGAACACCGGUGGCGAAGGCGGGUCUCUGGGCCGUUACUGACGCUGAGGAGCGAAAGCGUGGGGAGCGAACAGGAUUAGAUACCCCGGUAGUCCUGGCCGUAAACGAUGGGUACUAGGUGUAGGAGGUAUCGACCCCUUCUGUGCCGGAGUUAACGCAAUAAGUACCCCGCCUGGGGAGUACGACCGCAAGGUUG